GAUGAACGCUAGCUACAGGCUUAACACAUGCAAGUCGAGGGGUAACAAGAGAAAAGCUUGCUUUUCUUGUUGACGACCGGCGCACGGGUGGGUAACGCGUAUCCAACCUGCCCAUAACUAGGGAAUAACCUUGCGAAAGUAAGACUAAUACCCUAUAAUUUCCUUUGACGGCAUCUGACGAGGAAUAAAGAUUUAUCGGUUAUGGAUGGUGAUGCGUCUGAUUAGCUUGUUGGCGGGGUAACGGCCCACCAAGGCAACGAUCAGUAGGGGUUCUGAGAGGAAGGUCCCCCACAUUGGAACUGAGACACGGUCCAAACUCCUACGGGAGGCAGCAGUGAGGAAUAUUGGUCAAUGGGCGGAAGCCUGAACCGGCCAAGUAGCGUGCAGGAUGACGGCCCUAUGGGUUGUAAACUGCUUUUAUACAGGAAUAAAGUUAGCCACGUGUGGUUAUUUGUAGGUACUGUAUGAAUAAGGACCGGCUAAUUCCGUGCCAGCCGCCGCUGUAA
Molecule: ribosomal RNA, 506 nt
Filed under: uncultured bacterium
Lineage: Bacteria
Description: partial 16S ribosomal RNA
Rfam family: Bacterial small subunit ribosomal RNA
Source: RNAcentral